CUUGUUUGCACGGCCCGCUCCGGAAUCACAGCCUGGGGGAUGGAAUAAUUAGCAAGCAGGCCAGGCAUUCCUGGGUCCUCUCAUCACACCCUCAUGUAUGCGGGCAGCCAUUGCACGUCCAUACAAACAGAAACAUGCAAGUCCUUAAAAUGGCUGAGCUACCUCACGUUAACUCAGCCCCACCGGAUAAACAAGGUCCCACACACCGCGGUAACGCUUCACGAAACCAGGCAGCGAGGAUCCUAGAGGCUAAAGAGAGAGGAGACGAGCUUCCCGCGCUGUGACUCAUCCUCAGGUGUGCGAUUCCUCCUGCGUCUUAGGAAUCUGCUACUGAACGAGGAUGCUUAUGGAGGUGACAUAGGCUGACGUCUGGAUGCCAUCCAGCCCAGCACCUGGGAAGAUGAGAAUAAGAGUGGAGAAUCCACAGCUGAUGACAGCAAGGGUGUGGACUUGUUGCAAGGAAGGCCAGGCUGUCCACGCGACUCAGCAGCUGCACAACGUGACCAACAGCCGAUGAGAAGAAACCCUGGACGUCCCCCUCUAGAACAACCAGUGGACGUUUCCCACAUUUGUUGUACUUAUUAUUUAAUAUUAUUAUUAUUAUUGGCAGUAGUGGUAGCAGCAGUAGUCUUUAUAAAAACCUUUGAGAGUAAACUGCAGACUUCAUGAUGCUUUACCUCUUAAAUUCGUAUGUCUCCUAAUAGCAAAGACAUUCUUUCCCACAGUAAAGUGACCAAAUCUGGGAAAUUUAACAAUGAUACAAUAUUAUUACGUAAUUCACAGUCUAUAUUCAAAUUUGCCAAUUGUCCCAAUGAUGUUCUUUAUAACAUUUUUUUUUCCAAUUCAGGAUCACAUAUAAUUGUCAUGUGCUUUUUUGCCUUAUACAAGAAAUAUUUGUCUAUUCCAGUGUCACAAAGAUUUUUUUGUAUGUGUUCCUUUAGAAGUUUUGUAGUUUUAGCUUUUAUCUCUAAGACUACAAAUGGAUUGCUUGUUUACUCGACGGUGAUAUAAUCUAUUAACGUCAUUGUUUAUUUGAUGGUCAUAUUGUCCCAGCUUAAUCAGUAGAAGCCCAUCCAGGCCAGCUCCCAUGUCUUUUGGCAAAGUCCCAUAAUUUUUUGAACACAUCCUUAUUUUCUGGCGCAAUAAGGUGAUCCAGGCUCAUCUUGUGCUUUCACUGAUCCAGCCCUAGAAUUAGUCAUUUUUCCAAGAACCCCUGGUUCCUUUUGGUAUAGUGAUAAUUAAAAACCAAGAUCUGGGUACUAGGUUGCUCACUGCUGUUAGGGUAUUAAUUGCUUCUGUCUGUCUAUCUAUCUACCUACCUACUAUCUAGAAUACUCUCAUUUCACGCCGAGGCAGCGUCCCAUAUGUCACAACUAGAAGGACCCACACUAAAAUACACGACUAUGUACUGGCGGGAUUUGGGGAGAAGCAGCAGGAAAAAAAAAAGAAAGAAAGAUUGGCAACAGUUGUUAGCUCAGGUGCCAAUCUUUUAAAAAAAACAAAACCAAAAAAACCAGCUAUUAGAAUACUCUCAUUUCAAUUCAACAAAUACCUGAGCAUUCUUUUUAGUCUUCUCCCACAGCAAGAACCCUGGCUCCUGACGCACCGAUGUAUUUACUUGUUUGCUUAAUUCUACAAUAUACCAAAAUAGUUUCAGGAUUGCUAUAACACUGAUCUACAAAAAACCUACUAAGCAGAGUUUAAGAUUUCUUUUUACUUUUUUUUUUCUCAUUCUGUUCCAACCCAUCAUCUGUAGGCAGCCAACGGCAUUAAUUUCUGGCUUAUCCAUUCUGUUUCUUUUUGAAGGAAUAAGCUUUCUUACUCAUAUGGCAUACUAAAUAUACUCUUUUGUGCUUUGUGGGCUUUUUUUCACUCAAUAGCAUACUCUGAAAGUCACUCCAUACCAGUUUAUAGAGAGCUCCUAAUUUGUUUUCAUAGCUGCAGAGCCCUCUGCUGUGUGGACAUCAUAGUUUACUAGCCGAUCUCCAUGUUAGCGUAUUUAGGUUGUUUGGGGUUUUUUUUGCAAUUACAAGUAAUGCUGCAAUAAAUUACCUUGUGCACAGGUAUUUUUGUAUUGUUAGAGGUAGUAUCAGUCUGGAGACAGAAACCACAUGAUAAUUUAAAUAGAAGUUUAAUAUUAAAAAUUAUUAAGCCAUGACAGGAGAAUAACAUAUAGAUGUAAAGAUAUAUGCACCCCUGUGUUCAUCAGAGCAUUAUUCACAAUAGCCAAGACUUGGAAACAACCUAAGUGUCCAUCAACAGAUGAAUGGAUAAAGAAGAUGUGUUAUAUAUAUAUAUAUAUGUGGUAUAUAUAUUCCAUUGUCUAUGUAUAUACAUAUAUGUAUAUAUAUGUGGAAUACUACUCAGCCACCAAAAAGAUAAAAUCUUGCCAUUUAUGACAACAUGGAUAAACCUUGCGGGCAUUAUGCUAAGGAAAAUGUCAGACAGAAAAAGCCAGAUACCAUAUGGUUUCACUCAUGUGUGGAAGAUAAGACCACAACAACAAACAAACACAAAGAUACAGAGAAUGGAUUGGUGGUUACCAGAGGGAGGGGGGCGGGGAGGGUGAAAGGGGUAAAAGGGCACCUGUGUAUGGGGACAGAUGGCAACUAGACCUUGAGUGGUGAACAUGGUGUAAUCUACACAAAAAUCAAAGUAUAAUGAUAUACACCUGACAUUUAUGUACUGUUAUAAACCAAUGUUACCUCAAAAAAAUAAAAAUGUACAGAGAACUCUGAAGUAGAGUUGGCAAACCUUUUCUAUAAAGGGACAGAUAGUAAAUAUUUUAGGCUCUGUAGGCUGUCCUGUGUCUGUCACAACCACUCAACACUGUGUGGACAACACAUAAACAAAUGGCC
RNAcentral lists this long non-coding RNA (2858 nucleotides) under Equus caballus (horse). Its description in RNAcentral is "lncRNA (ENSECAG00000032862.3)". Lineage: Eukaryota; Metazoa; Chordata; Mammalia; Perissodactyla; Equidae. The record is from RNAcentral.